AGUGCCCCCCCCGCCAAAACCCAAUCUACGACAUAAUCAGUUCACUCGAUUUGUCAAUUUAAUCACUUUGUCAACUGACUCAUUUACUCAUUUUACCAAUUUUACUCAUUUUAAGAGCUUGAACAGUAAUGUUUUAAUAAUUAAAAUGUUGGCUACACAGAAAUACUAGAAAUUAACAUUUUUUCCACAUGAAACACUAAUACUUUUCCAGGCAAAAUGCCAACUUUUAACUAUAUGGUAGGAUUAUUUUGGCUACUUCUGGUUUCUUUAUGUGCUUUUGAAUAUAAGUGUAUAUUUCCAAACUUAAAACAUUUAAAUAUUUUUUCAUCAGCUUCUCAAAAUGGAUAUAAGCCUUAACUUCUUAGAGGAAAUACAGGGAAAUGGCUACAUAGGAAGGUCUGAACCCAGAGCCAGCCACCCCAGAAUGUCAGCCCAGCUCUGCCACUUUCUUAGGGUCAUCUCACUGGUACAUGUGUGAUGUGAUCUCAGCCAUGUUAUGUAUAGACACUAUGGGGAAAAAAAAACACAUCACGAUAAUAACAGGGUUAUUUCUGAGUGGUAGGAUCAUGAGUAACUUUACUUGCUUUCCUUAUAAAUUUGUCAAGGAAAAAAAUCAAUCGAUCGUCAAAGAAAGAAACAGAACGUUUUAUUUGAGCCAGCCUGAGGACUAUAGCCCAGGAGACAGCGGAUACUCUGGGGAACUGCUCUGAAGAGAUUGCUUACGAAGAUCUUAGCAGGUGCUCACAGUCCCUAAUGGAGGGUGUAGGCCAUGACUAAGCAGGUCAGAGCCAAGUCAUUUUCCUGGAAGCAGGAAUUAGCAGAGACCAGAAAGGAGAGUGUCAAAGAGGAUGACCUUGGACUUAAUUCCGCCAGUGGAAGGCAUGUCGGUGUGCCAAUUUCAAGCCUAGACCUCGAGAGGUCUUGAAUGCUUCUGCUUUCUAUCUCUUGGAGCUUUGUCCAAGCACCAGGUGAAUGCACAAACCCAGACCAGCCUGUUGGUGAAAGAGAGACCAAACAGAACAGAGUUGAGCUGUGUCAUCCUAGAGCAUCCUACACCAGCCAACCCCAAGCUAUCUCAGCACCGGACUGAGCCAGAGGAAAUCAGAACCUGCCUAGCUGAGUCCAUCCCACGUUGCCAAC
Long non-coding RNA from Cervus elaphus (red deer), 1140 nucleotides. RefSeq lists it as uncharacterized. NCBI's taxonomy places the organism in Eukaryota, Metazoa, Chordata, Mammalia, Artiodactyla, Cervidae. The transcript has 3 exons. The record is from RefSeq and is a predicted model, not a curated record.